AUGGAUUUGUUUGUCAGGAACAUCCGCAAAGUUUUCUGCAUUUUUUUUGCAGAGUACUCCAAAACCAAAAACCAACAUCCUGCCAAAGCAAACACCUGCAAAACAGUAGAGUCUGUGGAUAAAGGGAGGUUGUUAGGAGUCUCCUUAAGAAGCUGGAGUAAGGAGCUGCUCUCUCCAUUGACCACUAGGCUAACAGCUGAUGGGCUCAAAGAACUGACAGCAGCCGCUCAACUUCACCCUGAGCACAAACCCAGGGAGGAGAAAGAGGAAGAGAAGAAAAGGCUCCUUGCUGUCAUUUGUCAGCAAUAAUGGAUAUUCGGGCAGUUUGGUACAGCAGGACAUUCAGGGGUGCUUGAGAUCGUUAGAAAUGAAGCAAACAUGCUAAUUCUUGUACUGAUUUGAUUUGGGGCUGUAGUGAAGGAAUCUCAGAGUCACAGAAGAUCUGCUCCCUGUGAGGAGCUGCAGCUGCCAUCAGGCCUCCCCUCAGCUCCUCUGCUGUGGGCUGAGCAGCCCAUGGGCAUCAGCUGAUCCUCAUAUGUCUUGUUCUCCAGAGCCCUCACCAUCUUUGUAGUCCCCUUUUAGACAUCCCCUAAUAAUAAUUUUAUGUCUCUCAAACGUUGUGGUACCCCAAAAUGGCACACAGUAGUUGAAGCGAGGCUGCACCAGUGCAGACAAGAGUGGGACAAUCGCUCAGGAAAAGAGGAAAGGUCUUGUUGAUUCAGUUCAGGGGUCUUUUGGGUGAUCAGGGCCUGGGAAAGUUGCAAGGAAGAAAAAAUUUGGUCCAGGGCAAGUGGGAAGGAUCAGAUCCAUGCGUGCAUUUCAUAUCGGGAUCAAAGCAGCUUUUCCUUCCUGAGCUUCUCAUGAUGUCCACUUCUCAUGAUGGUUGCACUGCCGUGGAAGCAAAGCUGCAGAGGACUUCUGCCGUUUGGUGAAUAUCUGGGUGCUUCCUGCUUCUUCGAGAUUGCUGGGAAGUCCUGUGCAGUCCUUUCCUUCUGUUCCCUGUGUGAGGCUGGAAAGCCCUGAAGAAACCCGGAUCUUGGCCUCCUAACUAUUAAACACCUGGCAUGCCUAAGUAGGCGUAUGCGUGACAGGAGGAGGCAGCUCAGAAACAGGGGAGGACUGGGACAUAGGCAAGGUGAGUAGGCAGGAGCAAGACAGGGCAGGCCCAGCUGCAGCAAGGGUAGGAAGUUCAAAGAUGGAACGUGCAGCUGUGCGCAGCUUCCAGCCUCCUGUACAGGCUGCAGUGUGGCUCUAGAAAGGCCUCCCAAGAUACCGGGACACAGUAGAGAGAAGCCAAACAGCUUCUGAG
Molecule: long non-coding RNA, 1309 nt
Filed under: Coturnix japonica (Japanese quail)
Lineage: Eukaryota; Metazoa; Chordata; Aves; Galliformes; Phasianidae
Description: lncRNA (ENSCJPG00005006005.1)
Source: RNAcentral